GAUGAACGCUGGCGGCGUGCCUAAUACAUGCAAGUCGAGCGAACGGACGAGAAGCUUGCUUUUCUGAUGUUAGCGGCGGACGGGUGAGUAACACGUGAAUAACCUACCUAUAAGACUGGGAUAACUUCGGGAAACCGGAGCUAAUACCGGAUAAUAUUUUGAACCGCAUGGUUCAAAAGUGAAAGACGGUCUUGCUGUCACUUAUAGAUGGAUCCGCGCUGCAUUAGCUAGUUGGUAAGGUAACGGCUUACCAAGGCAACGAUGCAUAGCCGACCUGAGAGGGUGAUCGGCCACACUGGAACUGAGACACGGUCCAGACUCCUACGGGAGGCAGCAGUAGGGAAUCUUCCGCAAUGGGCGAAAGCCUGACGGAGCAACGCCGCGUGAGUGAUGAAGGUCUUCGGAUCGUAAAACUCUGUUAUUAGGGAAGAACAUAUGUGUAAGUAACUGUGCACAUCUUGACGGUACCUAAUCAGAAAGCCACGGCUAACUACGUGCCAGCAGCCGCGGUAAUACGUAGGUGGCAAGCGUUAUCCGGAAUUAUUGGGCGUAAAGCGCGCGUAGGCGGUUUUUUAAGUCUGAUGUGAAAGCCCACGGCUCAACCGUGGAGGGUCAUUGGAAACUGGAAAACUUGAGUGCAGAAGAGGAAAGUGGAAUUCCAUGUGUAGCGGUGAAAUGCGCAGAGAUGUGGAGGAACACCAGUGGCGAAGGCGACUUUCUGGUCUGUAACUGACGCUGAUGUGCGAAAGCGUGGGGAUCAAACAGGAUUAGAUACCCUGGUAGUCCACGCCGUAAACGAUGAGUGCUAAGUGUUAGGGGGUUUCCGCCCCUUAGUGCUGCAGCUAACGCAUUAAGCACUCCGCCUGGGGAGUACGACCGCAAGGUUGAAACUCAAAGGAAUUGACGGGGGCCCGCACAAGCGGUGGAGCAUGUGGUUUAAUUCGAAGCAACGCGAAGAACCUUACCAAAUCUUGACAUCCUUUGACAACUCUAGAGAUAGAGCCUUCCCCUUCGGGGGACAAAGUGACAGGUGGUGCAUGGUUGUCGUCAGCUCGUGUCGUGAGAUGUUGGGUUAAGUCCCGCAACGAGCGCAACCCUUAAGCUUAGUUGCCAUCAUUAAGUUGGGCACUCUAAGUUGACUGCCGGUGACAAACCGGAGGAAGGUGGGGAUGACGUCAAAUCAUCAUGCCCCUUAUGAUUUGGGCUACACACGUGCUACAAUGGACAAUACAAAGGGCAGCGAAACCGCGAGGUCAAGCAAAUCCCAUAAAGUUGUUCUCAGUUCGGAUUGUAGUCUGCAACUCGACUACAUGAAGCUGGAAUCGCUAGUAAUCGUAGAUCAGCAUGCUACGGUGAAUACGUUCCCGGGUCU
Molecule: ribosomal RNA, 1372 nt
Filed under: uncultured bacterium
Lineage: Bacteria
Description: bacterial SSU rRNA
Rfam family: Bacterial small subunit ribosomal RNA
Source: RNAcentral